GCUGGGCAGCGGUGGUGUGGGUGUUAUAACUCACAACUUUCUGUCCAGAAC
RNAcentral lists this non-coding RNA (51 nucleotides) under Blattella germanica (German cockroach). The record is from RNAcentral. Lineage: Eukaryota; Metazoa; Arthropoda; Insecta; Blattodea; Blattellidae.